RNAcentral lists this ribosomal RNA (482 nucleotides) under uncultured bacterium. RNAcentral describes it as "partial 16S ribosomal RNA". It matches the Rfam family "Bacterial small subunit ribosomal RNA", at positions 29 to 507 of the family's 1533-position model. The record is from RNAcentral.
AUUGAACGCUGGGCAUGCUUUACACAUGCAAGUCGAACGGCAGCGCGGGCUUCGGCCUGGCGGCGAGUGGCGAACGGGUGAGUAAUACAUCGGAACGUGCCCAGUAGUGGGGGAUAGCUCGGCGAAAGCCGGAUUAAUACCGCAUACGACCUGAGGGUGAAAGCGGGGGAUCUUCGGACCUCGCGCUAUUGGAGCGGCCGAUGGCAGAUUAGCUAGUUGGUGGGGUAAAGGCCUACCAAGGCGACGAUCUGUAGCUGGUCUGAGAGGACGACCAGCCACACUGGGACUGAGACACGGCCCAGACUCCUACGGGAGGCAGCAGUGGGGAAUUUUGGACAAUGGGCGAAAGCCUGAUCCAGCAAUGCCGCGUGUGUGAUGAAGGCCUUCGGGUUGUAAAGCACUUUUGGCGGGAACGAAAAGGACUGUGCCAAUACCACGGUUCGAUGACGGUACCCGCAGAAUAAGCACCGGCUAACUACGUG